AUGGAACAAUGUAGGCAAGGGAAGUCGGCAAAACGGAUCCGUAACUUCGGGAAAAGGAUUGGCUCUGAGGACUGGGCUCGGGGGUCCCGGCCCCGAACCCGACGGCUGUCGGCGGAUUGCUCGAGCUGCUCACGCGGCGAGAGCGGGUCGCCGCGUGCCGGCCGGGGGACGGACCGGGAAUCGCCCCUUCGGGGGCUUUCCCCGAGCAUGAAACAGUCGACUCAGAACUGGUACGGACAAGGGGAAUCCGACUGUUUAAUUAAAAAAAAGCAUUGCGAUGGUCCUCGCGGAUGCUGA
This 297-nucleotide ribosomal RNA is filed under the name Triticum aestivum (bread wheat). RNAcentral's name for it is "partial small subunit ribosomal RNA". It matches the Rfam family "Eukaryotic large subunit ribosomal RNA", at positions 1890 to 2184 of the family's 3401-position model. Lineage: Eukaryota; Viridiplantae; Streptophyta; Magnoliopsida; Poales; Poaceae. The record is from RNAcentral.